Tachysurus fulvidraco (yellow catfish) is the source of this 780-nucleotide long non-coding RNA. RefSeq lists it as uncharacterized. The transcript has 3 exons. The record is from RefSeq and is a predicted model, not a curated record. Lineage: Eukaryota; Metazoa; Chordata; Actinopteri; Siluriformes; Bagridae.
GUCACUUGGCCGUGAAGUAAUCUCAGUUUAACUGACUGAAAGCCUGCAUCUUCAUCGGAGCUUUGAAGGACAAAGGACAUCCAAUUUCCUGCUCUGCUUCUACAUUUUGGUUAAAACUUCGCUGUGAGGUUGACAAGCGGGAAUGACUGAGGUCAGCUCAGGCUAAAUAACGUUAAGUUGAUGGCAGCAAGCAGUGUUCCCUGGUGUGGCAGUUUCUACACACUGUGGUGUAUGGACUUCCUGUUCUGCCAGCAUUCAUUUUUGCAGACAAACUGUAACUUAUUUUUUUGUUUUUUAUUUUAUUAUUAAUUAAACUGUGUAUAGUUUUACAACACUGCAAUUACAUUGCAAUUGAUGAUUCUUACUGAUGAUUCUUAUAUCUUCAGAUAUUGAGGUUUAUGUAAAUGUUAUGAAAUGUUUUCAUAUUUUAAAUUUGUAUUCUUAAGGUAAAUUUUUCUGACUGAAGUCAGUGAUGCAUUUACUGUGAUAUUUUCAUAGAAUGCAAGCGUUUUACACGCUGUUAUGACGAAAUCAGCUCCGUAUAAUAGACAUAUAUUAGAUAUAAGGUUUGCUAUUUUAGCCUAGAAAUCCUUUACAAAUAUAAGAAAAUGUGUAUUAAUAAAACGAAGGACGACAUUUUAUUUAGAUCACCUAAAUUGCUUACACUUACUUCAAGUUCAAUUCAAUUCAAUUCAAGUUUAUUUGUAUAGCGCUUUUUACAACAGGCUUCAUCUCAAAGCAGCUUUACAGAACAUAAACAUAGAACAGAAGUUAAAGAUA